RNAcentral lists this ribosomal RNA (464 nucleotides) under uncultured bacterium. RNAcentral's name for it is "partial 16S ribosomal RNA". It matches the Rfam family "Bacterial small subunit ribosomal RNA", at positions 338 to 795 of the family's 1533-position model. The record is from RNAcentral.
CCUACGGGUGGCAGCAGUAGGGAAUUUUCGUCAAUGGGCGCAAGCCUGAACGAGCAAUGCCGCGUGAACGAGGAAGGUCUUCGGAUCGUAAAGUUCUGUUGAAGGGGAAAAAGAGCGGAGAGAGGAAAUGGUCUCCGAUUGAUAUUACCCUUCGAGGAAGUCACGGCUAACUACGUGCCAGCAGCCGCGGUAAUACGUAGGAUGCGAGCGUUAUCCGGAUUUAUUGGGUUUAAAGGGUGCGUAGGCGGAGCGUUAAGUCAGUGGUCAAAUUGAGGGGCUCAACCCCUUCCCGCCAUUGAAACUGGCGCUCUUGAGUGGAAGAGAAGUAUGCGGAAUGCGUGGUGUAGCGGUGAAAUGCAUAGAUAUCACGCAGAACCCCGAUUGCGAAGGCAGCAUGCCGGCUUCCGACUGACGCUGAAGCACGAAAGCGUGGGGAUCGAACAGGAUUAGAUACCCCUGUAGUC